RNAcentral lists this ribosomal RNA (422 nucleotides) under uncultured Glomeromycotina. Its description in RNAcentral is "SSU rRNA". It matches the Rfam family "Eukaryotic small subunit ribosomal RNA", at positions 672 to 1092 of the family's 1831-position model. The record is from RNAcentral. Lineage: Eukaryota; Fungi; Glomeromycota.
UGGUAUGACUGGUCUCGCUGAUUCCUCCUUUCUGAAGAACUGUAAUGUCAUUAAUUUGGUGUUGCAGGGAAACAGGACUGUUACUUUGAAAAAAUUAGAGUGUUUAAAGCAGGCUAACGCUUGAAUACAUUAGCAUGGAAUAAUGAAAUAGGACGUUCGAUCCUAUUUUGUUGGUUUCUAGGAUUGACGUAAUGAUUAAUAGGGAUAGUUGGGGGCAUUAGUAUUCAAUUGUCAGAGGUGAAAUUCUUGGAUUUAUUGAAGACUAACUACUGCGAAAGCAUUUGCCAAGGAUGUUUUCAUUAAUCAAGAACGAAAGUUAGGGGAUCGAAGACGAUCAGAUACCGUCGUAGUCUUAACCAUAAACUAUGCCGACUAGGGAUCGGAUGAUGUUAAUUUUUUAAUGACUCAUUCGGCGCCUUACG